Molecule: long non-coding RNA, 513 nt
Organism: Chiroxiphia lanceolata (lance-tailed manakin)
Lineage: Eukaryota; Metazoa; Chordata; Aves; Passeriformes; Pipridae
Exons: 2
Source: RefSeq, a predicted model, not a curated record
GUGUGGUUACCUGUCCUUACCUGGCUGCCCCCCCUCAGCAGCUGUGAGGCCCCAGGUGUUCCCCCCCGGGCCAGGUGUGUCUCCAGGUGUGUGCAGGUGGGAUCCGAUCCCACCGGGAAUUUACCGAUGGAAAAUUUGGGAAUAAAGGAAUAACGGGGGGGGAGGGGCAGGGGGGGCGUCCCUGUUUUGGGGAGAAAAACAACGAUUUGGCUCCUUCUGCUGAACACGGGGAGGGGUCGAAGCGCCCCCGGGCAGGUGCCCAGGUGAGGGUGUGCCCAGGUGAGGUGUGCCCAGGUCAAGGUGUGCCCACGUGAGGGUGUGCCCAUAUGCGGGGGUGUGCCCAGGUGAGGCUGUGCCCAGGUGAGGGUGUGCCCAGGUGAGGGUGUGCCCAGGUGGGGGCUGUGCCCAGGUGAGGCUGUGCCCAGGUGAACAGGCCGGGAUGCUCCAGGUAAGCCCUGCCUGGGGAUUUGGGGGGAAAAUGGGGGAAAAAGGCAAUAAAUCCGAUUGAUUUCA